Molecule: ribosomal RNA, 741 nt
Filed under: uncultured bacterium
Lineage: Bacteria
Description: bacterial SSU rRNA
Rfam family: Bacterial small subunit ribosomal RNA
Source: RNAcentral
AGAGUUUGAUCAUGGCUCAGAACGAACGCUGGCGGCAGUAACACAUGCAAGUCAAACGGGUGUAGCAAUACACAAGUGGCGCAAGGGUGAGAAACGCGUGGGAAUUUGCCUUUCAGUACGGAAUAACCACGGGAAACUGUGGCUAAUACCGUAUGGUCCCUUCGGGGUAAAGAUUUAUCGCUGAAAGAUGAGCCCGCGUCAGAUUAGCUAGUUGGUGGGGUAAAGGCCUACCAAGGCAACGAUCUGUAGCUGGUCUUAGAGGACGAUCAGCCACACUGGAACUGAGACACGGUCCAGACUCCUACGGGAGGCAGCAGUGGGGAAUAUUGGACAAUGGGGGAAACCCUGAUCCAGCCAUGCCGCGUGAGUGAUGAAGGCCUUCGGGUUGUAAAGCUCUUUUGUCAGGGAAGAUGAUGACGGUACCUGAAGAAUAAGCCCCGGCUAACUUCGUGCCAGCAGCCGCGGUAAUACGAAGGGGGCUAGCGUUGUUCGGAAUUACUGGGCGUAAAGGGCGCGUAGGCGGAUCGGCAAGUCAGAAGUGAAAUCCCUGGGCUCAACCCAGGAAUUGCUUUUGAGACUGCCAGUCUUGAGUACAGGAGAGGUGAGUGGAAUUCCCAGUGUAGAGGUAAAAUUCGUAGAUAUUGGGAGGAACACCAGUGGCGAAGGCGGCUCACUGGCCUGUAACUGACGCUGAGGCGCGAAAGCGUGGGGAGCAAACAGGAUUAGAUACCCUAGUAGUCC